This is a long non-coding RNA of Astatotilapia calliptera (eastern happy), 1460 nucleotides long. NCBI's taxonomy places the organism in Eukaryota, Metazoa, Chordata, Actinopteri, Cichliformes, Cichlidae. The record is from Ensembl.
GGAGGAUCCCACACUUCUCAUUCCUGUCAUUUGACGCCACUGUAGCAGCACAAUCUUCCAGUUUAAUGAGACUGAGGUCCUAAAUGCAGCCUUACAAUGAACAUUGCCUAACAACUAUUCAGAGAACUGCUCGUGGAUGUCACUGCUACAGAAGGACUGGGCCUUCUGAGGCCUUCCUGUCCCACUCCACAGAGAAGGGAUUGUCUUAAUAUUUUCACAACUUGUUCAUAAAUAUUAACUCUUUACACCAAAGCAUAUUCUGUCCAUGUGUUCAUUUGCUAUUGUGAAGGUUACAUUGUUUCACUUUUCCAAGUUUUUUUGCGCCUUUUGUCACACUUACCAUUGUUUCUUUGUUCUAAGCCUCUAUGGAAGUCAGGUGAUUGGGAAGGGGGCCGCCCAGCUUUUCCUGACCUUUAUGGUUGGUAUGGUCAUUUCAUAUCUAACCUGAUCAGGUUAAACCAAGAGGCAGGGUGUUUUUUCCAUAGGAAUCUUUUAUUCUGUUUGUUUUUCGGGUUGUGGAAAAAUUUCACAGGAGUAUUUGUCCCAGAGGGCGACAUUUAGCUGUGCAAAUGAGUGAGUCGUGGGAUUAGUGAGUUUUUAUAGGAUUUUCAGGUACUCAUGUGGAUUUCUAAAUUUGCUGGCUUAAACUAUCGUUACUGCCUGGAGUUCGACACCCCCGGCCUAGACUUAAUGUGAACUGACAGCCCUCUAUGUUACACAGUCAUAGGUUGGUUCAGAGGAGGAUGAGCGGUGUUGUCUAGAGCAGGGGUGUCCAACUCCAGGCUUCAAGGGCUCGUGUCUUUGAUUCAACACAGCUGAUUUAAAUGACCUCCUCAACAUGUCUUGAAGUUCUCCAGAGGCCUGGUAAUGAACUAAUCAUGUGAUUCAGGUGUGUUGACCCAGGGUGAGAUCUAAAACCUGCAGGACACCGGCCCUCGUGGCCUGGAGUUGCCCACCCCUGAUACAUACUGAUGACAAAUUGAACCAAAAAUGUCAUACUUAGAUUCAUGAGACCUACUGCCACUGAUUCUCAUUAACCAGUUCCCUUUCUUAAGAAUGGCUCCUUCACAAUCACCCUGUACCUCAGACCAUUUCUGAUUAUGCUUCAGUGAACACUAGAGGGCUCAACUGAAGGGCUGGCUGCAUCUCUGUGUCAGGUCUUUGCAGGAUUUUUUCCACCCUAUUUCUUAAUGGCAUGACUUUCAGGUAUUGAUUGCCUGCUCUGUUUAUAGUGGAUGUGUCGGUUCCUCUCUUGUCCUCCACUUGUCCAAUUUUGUCAAAUGUUUUAAGGACACUGCACACAGUGUCAAAAUAUGGCAGGAUUUCAUCUAAUAGCUCAUUGGUGCAGACUUGGCACCUAUAACACACCCAUUUCUGUAAUAUAUCUAUAUAACCCUAUAUUAUUGCUAAUAUAUAUUUUGUAAUAUAUCUAUAUCAUGGCUAAAGCAUUUGAUGGAUGC